RNAcentral lists this ribosomal RNA (549 nucleotides) under uncultured bacterium. RNAcentral's name for it is "bacterial SSU rRNA". It matches the Rfam family "Bacterial small subunit ribosomal RNA", at positions 355 to 896 of the family's 1533-position model. The record is from RNAcentral.
UGGGGAAUAUUGCACAAUGGGCGCAAGCCUGAUGCAGCCAUGCCGCGUGUGUGAAGAAGGCCUUCGGGUUGUAAAGCACUUUCAGCGGGGAGGAAGGCGUUAAGGUUAAUAACCUUGUCGAUUGACGUUACCCGCAGAAGAAGCACCGGCUAACUCCGUGCCAGCAGCCGCGGUAAUACGGAGGGUGCAAGCGUUAAUCGGAAUUACUGGGCGUAAAGCGCACGCAGGUGGUCUGUCAAGUCGGAUGUGAAAUCCCCGGGCUUAACCUGGGAACUGCAUUCGAAACUGGCAGGCUAGAGUCUUGUAGAGGGGGGUAGAAUUCCAGGUGUAGCGGUGAAAUGCGUAGAGAUCUGGAGGAAUACCGGUGGCGAAGGCGGCCCCCUGGACAAAGACUGACGCUCAGGUGCGAAAGCGUGGGGAGCAAACGGGAUUAGAUACCCUGGUAGUCCACGCCGUAAACGAUGUCGAUUUGGAGGUUGUGCCCUUGAGGCGUGGCUUCCGGAGCUAACGCGUUAAAUCGACCGCCUGGGGAGUACGGCCGCAAGGUUA